AGUGAACGCUGGCGGUAGGCCUAACACAUGCAAGUCGAACGGCAGCACAGUAAGAGCUUGCUCUUACGGGUGGCGAGUGGCGGACGGGUGAGGAAUACAUCGGAAUCUACUUUUUCGUGGGGGAUAACGUAGGGAAACUUACGCUAAUACCGCAUACGACCUACGGGUGAAAGCAGGGGAUCUUCGGACCUUGCGCGAUUGAAUGAGCCAAUGUCGGAUUAGCUAGUUGGCGGGGUAAAGGCCCACCAAGGCGACGAUCCGUAGCUGGUCUGAGAGGAUGAUCAGCCACACUGGAACUGAGACACGGUCCAGACUCCUACGGGAGGCAGCAGCGGGGAAUAUUGGACAAUGGGCGCAAGCCUGAUCCAGCCAUACCGCGUGGGUGAAGAAGGCCUUCGGGUUGUAAAGCCCUUUUGUUGGGAAAGAAAAGCAGCAGGUUAAUACCCCGCUGUUCUGACGGUACCCAAAGAAUAAGCACCGGCUAACUUCGUG
RNAcentral lists this ribosomal RNA (492 nucleotides) under uncultured bacterium. Its description in RNAcentral is "partial 16S ribosomal RNA". It matches the Rfam family "Bacterial small subunit ribosomal RNA", at positions 29 to 507 of the family's 1533-position model. The record is from RNAcentral.